Macaca fascicularis (crab-eating macaque) is the source of this 300-nucleotide unclassified non-coding RNA. It matches the Rfam family "Metazoan signal recognition particle RNA". Rfam says of the family: The signal recognition particle (SRP) is a universally conserved ribonucleoprotein. It is involved in the co-translational targeting of proteins to membranes. The record is from Ensembl. Lineage: Eukaryota; Metazoa; Chordata; Mammalia; Primates; Cercopithecidae.
GCCCAGCGCAGCGAUACACAUCCGUGGUCCCAGCUACUCGGGAGGCUAGGGCAGGAGGAUCACUUGAGCCCAGGAGUUCUGGGCUGUAGCGCACCGUGCUGAUUGGGUGUCCACAUUAAGUCUGGCAUCAAUAUGGUGACCUCCUGGGAGCAGGGAACCACCAGGUUGCCCAAGGAGGGUUGAACCAGCCUAGGUUGGAAACGGAGAUGGUCAAAACUCCAGUGCUGAUCCGUAGCGGGAUCAUGCCUGUGACUAGCCACUGCACUCCAGCCUGGGCAACAGAGUGAGACCCUGUCUCUA